GGUUUUGCCAGAAGUAGUUAGCCUAACCGCAAGGAGGGCGAUUACCACGGCAGGGUUCAUGACUGGGGUGAAGUCGUAACAAGGUAGCCGUAUCGGAAGGUGCGGCUGGAUCACCUCCUUU
This 121-nucleotide non-coding RNA is filed under the name Cupriavidus numazuensis. RNAcentral's name for it is "partial 16S ribosomal RNA". It matches the Rfam family "Bacterial small subunit ribosomal RNA", at positions 1413 to 1533 of the family's 1533-position model. The record is from RNAcentral. Lineage: Bacteria; Pseudomonadati; Pseudomonadota; Betaproteobacteria; Burkholderiales; Burkholderiaceae. RNAcentral also lists the same sequence under 1 other name.